Molecule: ribosomal RNA, 484 nt
Filed under: uncultured bacterium
Lineage: Bacteria
Description: partial 16S ribosomal RNA
Rfam family: Bacterial small subunit ribosomal RNA
Source: RNAcentral
AUUGAACGCUGGCGGCAGGCCUAACACAUGCAAGUCGAGCGGAUGAAGGGAGCUUGCUCGUGGAUUCAGCGGCGGACGGGUGAGUAAUGCCUAGGAAUCUGCCUGGUAGUGGGGGAUAACGUCCGGACACGGGCGCUAAUACCGCAUACGUCCUGAGGGAGAAAGUGGGGGAUCUUCGGACCUCACGCUAUCAGAUGAGCCUAGGUCGGAUUAGCUAGUUGGUGGGGUAAAGGCCUACCAAGGCGACGAUCCGUAGCUGGUCUGAGAGGAUGAUCAGUCACACUGGAACUGAGACACGGUCCAGACUCCUACGGGAGGCAGCAGUGGGGAAUAUUGGACAAUGGGCGAAAGCCUGAUCCAGCCAUGCCGCGUGUGUGAAGAAGGUCUUCGGAUUGUAAAGCACUUUUAGUUGGGAGGAAGGGCAGUAAGUUAAUACCUUGCUGUUUUGACGUUACCAACAGAAUAAGCACCGGCUAACUUCGUG